This 2902-nucleotide ribosomal RNA is filed under the name Escherichia coli DEC3E. Its description in RNAcentral is "bacterial LSU rRNA". It matches the Rfam family "Bacterial large subunit ribosomal RNA". The record is from RNAcentral. Lineage: Bacteria; Pseudomonadati; Pseudomonadota; Gammaproteobacteria; Enterobacterales; Enterobacteriaceae.
UAAGCGACUAAGCGUACACGGUGGAUGCCCUGGCAGUCAGAGGCGAUGAAGGACGUGCUAAUCUGCGAUAAGCGUCGGUAAGGUGGUAUGAACCGUUAUAACCGGCGAUUUCCGAAUGGGGAAACCCAGUGUGAUUCGUCACACUAUCAUUAACUGAAUCCAUAGGUUAAUGAGGCGAAUCGGGGGAACUGAAACAUCUAAGUACCCCGAGGAAAAGAAAUCAACCGAGAUUCCCCCAGUAGCGGCGAGCGAACGGGGAGCAGCCCAGAGCCUGAAUCAGUGUGUGUGUUAGUGGAAGCGUCUGGAAAGGCGCGCGAUACAGGGUGACAGCCCCGUACACAAAAAUGCACAUGCUGUGAGCUCGAUGAGUAGGGCGGGACACGUGGUAUCCUGUCUGAAUAUGGGGGGACCAUCCUCCAAGGCUAAAUACUCCUGACUGACCGAUAGUGAACCAGUACCGUGAGGGAAAGGCGAAAAGAACCCCGGCGAGGGGAGUGAAAAAGAACCUGAAACCGUGUACGUACAAGCAGUGGGAGCACAGAGCAAUCUGUGUGACUGCGUACCUUUUGUAUAAUGGGUCAGCGACUUAUAUUCUGUAGCAAGGUUAACCGAAUAGGGGAGCCGAAGGGAAACCGAGUCUUAACCGGGCGUUAAGUUGCAGGGUAUAGACCCGAAACCCGGUGAUCUAGCCAUGGGCAGGUUGAAGGUUGGGUAACACUAACUGGAGGACCGAACCGACUAAUGUUGAAAAAUUAGCGGAUGACUUGUGGCUGGGGGUGAAAGGCCAAUCAAACCGGGAGAUAGCUGGUUCUCCCCGAAAGCUAUUUAGGUAGCGCCUCGUGAAUUCAUCUCCGGGGGUAGAGCACUGUUUCGGCAAGGGGGUCAUCCCGACUUACCAACCCGAUGCAAACUGCGAAUACCGGAGAAUGUUAUCACGGGAGACACACGGCGGGUGCUAACGUCCGUCGUGAAGAGGGAAACAACCCAGACCGCCAGCUAAGGUCCCAAAGUCAUGGUUAAGUGGGAAACGAUGUGGGAAGGCCCAGACAGCCAGGAUGUUGGCUUAGAAGCAGCCAUCAUUUAAAGAAAGCGUAAUAGCUCACUGGUCGAGUCGGCCUGCGCGGAAGAUGUAACGGGGCUAAACCAUGCACCGAAGCUGCGGCAGCGACACUGUGUGUUGUUGGGUAGGGGAGCGUUCUGUAAGCCUGUGAAGGUGUACUGUGAGGUAUGCUGGAGGUAUCAGAAGUGCGAAUGCUGACAUAAGUAACGAUAAAGCGGGUGAAAAGCCCGCUCGCCGGAAGACCAAGGGUUCCUGUCCAACGUUAAUCGGGGCAGGGUGAGUCGACCCCUAAGGCGAGGCCGAAAGGCGUAGUCGAUGGGAAACAGGUUAAUAUUCCUGUACUUGGUGUUACUGCGAAGGGGGGACGGAGAAGGCUAUGUUGGCCGGGCGACGGUUGUCCCGGUUUAAGCGUGUAGGCUGGUUUUCCAGGCAAAUCCGGAAAAUCAAGGCUGAGGCGUGAUGACGAGGCACUACGGUGCUGAAGCAACAAAUGCCCUGCUUCCAGGAAAAGCCUCUAAGCAUCAGGUAACAUCAAAUCGUACCCCAAACCGACACAGGUGGUCAGGUAGAGAAUACCAAGGCGCUUGAGAGAACUCGGGUGAAGGAACUAGGCAAAAUGGUGCCGUAACUUCGGGAGAAGGCACGCUGAUAUGUAGGUGAAGUCCCUCGCGGAUGGAGCUGAAAUCAGUCGAAGAUACCAGCUGGCUGCAACUGUUUAUUAAAAACACAGCACUGUGCAAACACGAAAGUGGACGUAUACGGUGUGACGCCUGCCCGGUGCCGGAAGGUUAAUUGAUGGGGUCAGCGCAAGCGAAGCUCUUGAUCGAAGCCCCGGUAAACGGCGGCCGUAACUAUAACGGUCCUAAGGUAGCGAAAUUCCUUGUCGGGUAAGUUCCGACCUGCACGAAUGGCGUAAUGAUGGCCAGGCUGUCUCCACCCGAGACUCAGUGAAAUUGAACUCGCUGUGAAGAUGCAGUGUACCCGCGGCAAGACGGAAAGACCCCGUGAACCUUUACUAUAGCUUGACACUGAACAUUGAGCCUUGAUGUGUAGGAUAGGUGGGAGGCUUUGAAGUGUGGACGCCAGUCUGCAUGGAGCCGACCUUGAAAUACCACCCUUUAAUGUUUGAUGUUCUAACGUGGACCCGUGAUCCGGGUUGCGGACAGUGUCUGGUGGGUAGUUUGACUGGGGCGGUCUCCUCCUAAAGAGUAACGGAGGAGCACGAAGGUUGGCUAAUCCUGGUCGGACAUCAGGAGGUUAGUGCAAUGGCAUAAGCCAGCUUGACUGCGAGCGUGACGGCGCGAGCAGGUGCGAAAGCAGGUCAUAGUGAUCCGGUGGUUCUGAAUGGAAGGGCCAUCGCUCAACGGAUAAAAGGUACUCCGGGGAUAACAGGCUGAUACCGCCCAAGAGUUCAUAUCGACGGCGGUGUUUGGCACCUCGAUGUCGGCUCAUCACAUCCUGGGGCUGAAGUAGGUCCCAAGGGUAUGGCUGUUCGCCAUUUAAAGUGGUACGCGAGCUGGGUUUAGAACGUCGUGAGACAGUUCGGUCCCUAUCUGCCGUGGGCGCUGGAGAACUGAGGGGGGCUGCUCCUAGUACGAGAGGACCGGAGUGGACGCAUCACUGGUGUUCGGGUUGUCAUGCCAAUGGCACUGCCCGGUAGCUAAAUGCGGAAGAGAUAAGUGCUGAAAGCAUCUAAGCACGAAACUUGCCCCGAGAUGAGUUCUCCCUGACCCUUUAAGGGUCCUGAAGGAACGUUGAAGACGACGACGUUGAUAGGCCGGGUGUGUAAGCGCAGCGAUGCGUUGAGCUAAACCGGUACUAAUGAACCGUGAGGCUUAACCU